Molecule: long non-coding RNA, 2411 nt
Filed under: Phocoena sinus (vaquita)
Lineage: Eukaryota; Metazoa; Chordata; Mammalia; Artiodactyla; Phocoenidae
Description: lncRNA (ENSPSNG00000019573.1)
Source: RNAcentral
GAAAUACCUUGGGAAUAUUUUAAAAACAAUUUAAAAACUGUUCCCGAGGCUGAAAAAAAAUAUGGGCUGUUGUCAUCUGGCAAAAUUGUGAGUAAUCAUCACGAUUCUCUGAAGUGAUCAUUUCACAGUUUCCUAUUCUGCAACUCCUGGAGCCGUCUAGUGACACUGCUGCCAGAACCGUUAAGAGAGGACUUCCACUCCCACCUGCUGCAGACGCAUCGAAACUGCAGACGAAGUAGAACAAGGGAAAGCAAAAGUAUUCCUGAGCCUGAUAAACCAGGAAAUCCCAGGUGCCACAGGUGAAAAGAGAAUUCAAAGCGAGGCUGUAAUUGGGAACUCAAGGCCUGUGGUGGUUUCAGAUCUGAGUAUAGGCCCCAAGGGCAUGGACCUGAGGGUCUCAUGGAGAAACAGGAGACGUGGUCUUAGGUCUGUGUAAAGAAGGAAGGUGGAGUUGGUGUCCUCCUGUACAAAAUCUUGAAGCUGUCCGAUCUGUGAAAAGAAGACUAGAAAAGCCUUGCCCACUGGUCUGAGGGGGUGCAAAGGAACGUGCUGUCCUCCUGGGACUGUGCAUAAUUAGGAAUAAGAAAAGAGAAAAGCUGUGCCUCACACUGGUGGUAGGUUAAAAGUUUACACUUCUCCCAGUGCAACUAACCCUCAAGCCAAGAAGUUAGCAUAAAAUCUGGCCCAGAACUAUGGGGGCCAGUGGAGCCCUCAGACGUAAGUGUACAACUGUCCUGCAGAGCAGAUGAGCCUGGGGACUCUCACAGAAGAAACAGCUCAUGCUAAGGGUGGACUUGCAAUAAAACAUUGCAGCCGCAUGAGGAAAUGAAUCACUGUGGAGGAGCUUUGGCAGAUGUUGCAAAUAGGAGAAAGGUGCUCCUGGGACAUAGGACAGAAGUCAUUUGGUUAAAAUUACUAGAGAUAAAAGGGGUAAGACUGCAAUGAACAAACACCACAGGUUGUAAAAACACAUGGAUUUGGAAAGGAACCAGAUGGAAUUUCUAGAAACCUCAAGCAAACUCAACAGACAGGUUAAACAGCUGAGUGGAUAUAAAUGAAGAGAAAACUAUUGAUCUUUGAGGAGUUCCGAGGAAAUUGCUUGUAAUUCAGUACUGAGAGAUAGGGGUGGAAAAUGAGUGGAUAAGACCCACUUUAGUAUGAGAAAGUUCACCAUUACCGAUUUCUGUGAGCUUCCUGAAAGAGGAAAUAGAGUGGGAGAGUUACUCUCCAAAGAUAUAAUUGUUGACAGUUUUCCAUCAUAAACGCAAGGCUUGAGUUUUUAGGUCCAAGAAGCACAGUGAACCCAAGCAGGAUAAAUAAAAACAAAUCCACACCUAGACACAUGGUACAUGAAACGUUGGAAACGAGACAGAAGCAACCCGAAGAAAGUCAUUGUCUAAAUAUCUGGAAGACAUUUUGUUGGUAGCAGAAGAUGAUAGAAUAAUAUCUUAAAUGCUUUGGGGGAGAAACAAACAUCAGCCUGGCAUUCUGUAUCCAUAUGAAGUAAUAUUCAAGAGUAGAAGUGAAAUGAAAGCUUUGUUGAUAAAGACAAAGUUGAUCGCUUGUAGACUUUUGCUGAAGGAACUACUAAAAGAUGUAUUUCAAGACGAAAGAAAUUGAAAGUCGAAGGAAGGAGUGAAAUACAAAUAGUGAAGUGCAGACAGGGUUCAGAACCUAGGAGAUCAGCUUAAACAGAAUCCUAGUAGGGCUACAAGUAGGCAGGCCACGUUAGAGUCUGGGGAUUUGGCUUAGCACUUGGGAUCGCAAAGAUGAAGGAUUCAGGUAAAGGAAACUGAGCAAUAGUAGAUAAUAACAAGAUUCUUGCCAGAUAGAACCAAAUAUCAAGACCUUCAUGUUUAGCCAACACAUUCCAAAAUGACCUCCUUUACAUUCCGAAUUGGGGUCUUAGCUGUGGAAAAAUAGGACUUGGAUCUUAGCUAUCAGAGAUUCAGUGCACAAGGGUAAACUACGUUUAACAACAUUUGAGGGAAAGCAUACAUGUUGAGGGAGGACAGUGGUUAAGAUACGAAAAAGUUCAACAGAUGAGGAUAAAUGGCAGAUGAGAAUGUAGACAUUUGCUGUUUUGUGUCAACUUGAUGUGAUUGGCUAGUUGUUUUUGACCAACUCCUGGACUUUGAAAAUUACUUACAUCUAGUAUCACAGUAGUAUAGUUAGACAACAGUCAUCUGCAUCUCUAAUUUUACUGUUCUCUGUGGGAUCAAAAGUGUGAAAUGUAAGUUGUGGUAUGAUUCUAUUUAGAUGGAUACUUUGUAGCAAUUUAAAAUCUACAGUUUAGCAUUUUAUUAUCUGAAAAUACAGCUUAAGAGGGUUUUUAAAAACUACGGUUCUUUGCAUUAAAACUUGCUCUUUCUUGGGCAAAUAAACUGAAUUUCAUCAUAGAUACUAUUGAC